GGCGCCGCGCGGCACGCCGGGAGCGGCGCGGCGGUGGGAGGGGCGCCGCGCGGGGCACGCCGGGAAGGUGGCGGCUCGCGCGCCGUGAGGCGGCCCCGGGCCAGCGUGUUGAGUGUUAUCCCAAAGCCACAUCAGCAAAUCUGCACGGAAUAUGCAAAUAAUAUAAACUGAGAUCGAUCAUGAAGAUCUUUUGUGGAAGAGCGAAUCCAACCACGGGCGCAAUGGAGUGGUUAGAGGAGGACGAGGACUAUGACUACCAUCAGGAAAUUGCAAGGUCACGCUAUGCAGAUAUGCUUCAUGAUAAAGACCGAAAUGUGAAAUAUUACCAAGGUAUCCGUGCUGCAGUGAGCAGAGUAAAAGAAAGAGGUGAGAAAGCAAUUGUUUUAGACAUAGGAACUGGCACAGGACUCUUGUCUAUGAUGGCAGCUUCAGCAGGUGCAGAUUUCUGUUACGCUAUUGAGGUUUUCAAGCCCAUGGCUAAUGCUGCUGUGAAGAUAGUGGAGAAAAAUGGUUUUAGUGACAAGAUCAAGGUAAUCAACAAGCACUCCACUGAAGUUACAGUUGGGCCAGAUGGAGACAUGCAAUGUCGUGCAAAUAUCCUGGUAACAGAAUUAUUUGAUACAGAGCUGAUAGGAGAAGGAGCUUUACCAACCUAUGAGCACGCACACAAGCAUCUUGUACAGGAAGGAUGUGAGGCAGUGCCUCAUAGGGCAACAGUGUAUGUCCAGUUAGUGGAAUCCAGAAGGAUGUGGUCCUGGAACAAGCUGUUUCCUGUUCAUGUCAAAGCAGAGGAUGGUGAAAAAAUUAUUGUCUCCCCGUCAGAAAUGGAGAACUGUCCAGGUGUUCCUUCUGUUUGUGAUAUCCAACUGAAUCAGAUGCCUUCAAGUGACUUCACUAUCCUUAGUGACGUUGUGACAAUGUUCAGCGUGGAUUUCAGUAAGCCAGUAAGGAGUGCUUCUACCUACUACAGAGUGCAGCUGAAGCCUGUAAAAUCUGGCAAGGCACAAAUUGUACUUUCCUGGUGGGAUAUUGACAUGGACCCCUCUGGGAAGAUAAAUUGUACGAUGGCUCCAUACUGGGUAAAACCCGCUUCUGCUCUCCAGUGGAGAGAUCACUGGAUGCAGUGUGUAUAUUUUCUUCCAAAUGAGGAGCCAGUUUUCCAGGGUGAGAAUGUGUACCUGACUGCCUAUCGUGAUGAGUAUUCUGUGUGGUAUAAGCUCCAGAAAGCCAGAGGAGAAGAGAACAAAGCAGAUGUUCAUGCUGAGAGUCCCGUUUGUAGAUGUCAGGCUCAUCUUCUUUGGAAUAGACCACGCUUUGGAGAAUUAAAUGAUCAGAACCGAACAUGCCAGUACAUCAAGUCUUUGACAAAAAUUCUGAAAACAGAUAGCGUUUGUCUCUGCAUCAGUGAUGGCAGUCUGCUGCCUGUGCUGGCUCACUAUCUUGGGGCAAAGCAGGUGUUUACAUUAGAAAACUCUGCUGUGUCCUGUUCUGUCAUGGGAAAAUUCUUAAAAGCAAAUCAUCUUGAAGAUAAAAUUAAAAUAGUAGAAGCACGUCCUGAAUCGCUGACAUCUUCUCAUUUGGAAGAUAAAAAAAUUUCAGUUCUUCUGGGAGAGCCAUUUUUUACUACAAGUCUGUUGCCAUGGCAUAACCUGUAUUUCUGGUAUGCUAGGACAGCUGUGACCAUGCAUCUUGCCAGCAAUGUCACUGUCCUACCUCAGUCUGCUUCUUUGCACAUGAUGAUUGUGGAGUUUCAGGACUUAUGGAGAAUCCGGAGUCCGUGUGGCACCUGUGAAGGUUUUGAUGUCCGGACUAUGGAUGAUAUGAUUAAAAAUUCUCUGAAUUUUAGGGAAUCCAAGGAAGCAGAACCUCACCCUCUGUGGGAAUAUCCUUGCAAGUCACUCUCAGACCCCCAAGAAGUUUUGAUAUUUGACUUCAGAAGGACAGUACCACAGCACUGUCUCAGUGCAGAGGGUUCUUUAAAUCUUUUACGGAAGGGAAAGAGCCAUGGAGCAGUUCUGUGGAUGGAAUAUCAUCUUACUGCUGAUAUCUCUGUUAGCACAGGGCUGGUGCAGAUUUCAAAUGACAAGGCUCUGGACUUGCCACUGACAAAUUGAAAAUAUUCUUCAGCAUGCACAAAAAGAAAUCCCAUGUCAAGCUACAUAUGUAUUUUAGUACAUUUAAUAUGGAGAAGGAAACAGGAGCAAAAAGAAUGGCAUGAAGCAGCAGAAGCUCACUCUACCUUACCUCCUGGUCACUGCAGUAUAUAACUCUGUUACAGCUGGUUGCUAUGAGGAGAACAGACUUUUACAGCUUUGCUUCUUACUGUUAGGUAUUUCUAGGGAAGAUUGUGAGCUGAAUACAGCGGAUGCUUGAAUCAUCAUCCUACCUAAUUGACUUUGGUGGCAUUACAGACUGUUAAUUUGAUUUCGUGCUUAAUCAGUCAUUUUCAGACUUCACAUUUUCAAGCAUUUAACAGGGAUUAAUGAUUAAGAUGGUCUCACAGAGGCCAUCUUAAUAAUACAUACCUCAGAGAGGUAUGUGUUAUUAUCCCAAUUUUUCACAUGAGCAAAAACUGGGAGUGUUCUGUGUGGGUGUUCAAGUGUUUCAUCUGCUCUGAGCUCUCACUGUAAGAUUAGGGCCUCAGAGCUAAAAAUGACUUGCUCAAGGCCAUGCGGAAUAAACUAAUCCCCUGACUCUCCCUUGCUCUGCUUUAAUCAUUUGUUUUCUUAGUGCAGUGUGAUCUCAAAUGCAGCCUUAUGAGGUUUAACCGAGAUACAGCAGAUAAAGGCUCAGAGGCAGCAAAUCCUUGGAUCCUUCAGUAAUUAAAACCAGGAUAAAUAUAUAUAUACAUAUAUACGUGUGUGUGUUUGCAUAUAUAUAUAUCAGGCCAUAGAGUGUUGCUUUUGUUUUUAAAGGCUUUCAUGAAGAUGACCCACUUUUUCUUCAGCAGGAUCCUUUCUAGGGUGUGAGAGCCCUAGAAACGCUUCCUUUGUGGGCGCUAAUGAAAGACUGAGAGCUGCUCCUCUCCCUGUCCGCAGAGGGUAGGCCCCACAAGUGCCGCUGCGAUGGCGCUGCGCUCCUCGCAGCCGCGCGGGCACAGUCCCAGGGCGCCUUAGCUCUUGCGUUACCCGGCUGCGACUGGCCGAGCAGCUGGCCGUGCUUCGCCAGGGCUUUGCAGAAGCGCAGCUGUGUGCUGUACUGCGGCAGCAGCCAGCGGGUUGUGGACGUUGUCUCUUGCUCCUGUUGUUUUCCGCAGCCUCGGGUCCUCGGGGCGACCCUGCUUGCUCCUGCCUCACGCACCCCUCUCAGGUGAUGAGUUGCAGCUUGUGCACUGGGAAAAAAAAUGAUGGGCACUGCAGUUUACUGGGUCCUGCUUCUCAAGGCUGAUGGAUCCUGCUCUGUCUGUUCUCCAGUAAAGGUGACUGCUUGCUUCAUGUUAAAGAGUAUCUAAGAAACCAAUUAUUCACAACCCUGAGACUCGGCACAUAAAUCAAGCUGCUGGGAUGAACGGAGUGGGAGGGAGGGAGACAAACAGCCUUCAUUACUGCACUUGGAAAUGUUGUAUUUCUUCUCAACACCAUAUUUCUAGGAACUGUUGAAGGGAGCGUGCUGCAGGUGCUACAGCCCUAAUCUCGCACCGGCGCAGCAUGAAGGAUAGGACUGACUCGCCCUCCUUAGGGGCAGAGCGAUUAAUCGGCAGUGCUGUGACUCGCGGGGAGGAGGCCGGGUGGCCGAGGAUCCCAACGAGGCAGCGCAGCGCAGCGCAGCGCAGCUCGCCCCCCUGGGUAGAGGGACGCCCCGGGCCGCCGCUGCCGCCGCCGCGCGGGACGGGCCCCGACGCCGCUUUUCCUCUCAGGCCCCGGCGGCGGCGGCGGCCCGCGCGCCGCGGCCCCGCUGCUGAUUGGCCGAGCCCCCUCCCCAGCGGCGCCUGGCCGCCAUUUUGGCCGCCUGCCGCCGCGGGGGGAGGAGAGAGACGGGUCCCCCCCGUCCCCGCCCUCCGCCGCGGGCAGGCCCGGGGGAAGCGGCGCGGCGGCUGGCCUGGCCUCUGCGCCGCGGGAAGGCAGCAGACAAGACUAGCACACAGAUGCACCGUAGACAUCUGCACAUCCGAAACCAGAAGCCUUAGAAGAAUUUAGCUGCUAAGCUGGCAUGUCUGCUGAGCACCUGCAAACGGAGAGCACAGGCAGAUCAAGUGCCAGGACCAGAGGGCUGGCUCCUUGCAGAGAGAUCUUCAAACAAGCUGUUGGCGUACCCUUUCUGGUAGCGCUUGGAGUUGCUUGUCCUAUUCCUAUGGGCCUGUCCAGAAAGAAGGCAUGAGGAAGAAGAGAAUGCACAUAAUUUCCUAAUCCUCACCAGCCUGGCAGGCAGACUGAUUUGAACUAGUUUGCCCUUUACACUGCCAACAUUUCUUAGCAGCAGUUCAAGUUUUCUCUUGGGAUCACUGGAAUAUUCACCUGUGCUUGGAGCUGCUGCUGCUAUUUGUCUCUGUCUAUUGUCAAGGCAACAGAAUCUUGAGUGAUACAACAGUGGAGCAAUUACUUAUGAGGACAGGAAACUCGGGCAGCAACCUGAAGCAGAUCAGUGUGAAGAAUGCAGCAAACCCACUUAACUGAAAUACACAAAGUCUGCAGCGUCCAUACUGUCUUCAAGCAGUCUAGAAGGGCUACAUUCUGCGCUCCAGCUAUCGUGAACACAAGAAUCGUAGCCACAACAAGUAAUACUAAAGAUAUACAGACCUCUGUCUAAAUUAAUUUCUGAUCUUAUACAGAAGUAAAGUGCACCCUGCACUUUGUCAGAAAUACUGGAGGAGCAAUGCUUGCUACUUGUGCACAGGAACCUCAGCAGAGACCUAGAGAAAGUGAAAAACUAAGAGAAGCAAAUCAGGACAAUACCUGCAAGAGCUUGCAAUUAAUCUCCUCCAGGGAGGCUGAAGGGAGAAGACGACAGGGAAAAAUACGCACGUCACUUGCAGACCUACCCCUGAGCCAGAGGAUUCUCCUGAGCUCACAAGAUGGCUAGCAAAGUCUCAAAGGGUGUGACAGUCUGCUGGAUGCUGUUACUGACUCCUGCAGGAGCUUGGCUACGAGGGCCUCUUGCUUCCACCCUCAGGCUGCCUUAGUCUGAAUACGUUACAGUGUCGUAAGUGAAUUUACAGAGUGUCCUCUCUACUUUCUUAUCCAGCAUAUGCAGUUCCAAUAGAAAAGUGAGACACCAUUAAUUUAAAUCCUCUACUCUCUAAGGCAAGCAGGUGAAUAUAUGAAUUAUAUUUUCCAAGCUUACAUAACUUAAAAUGAGAUUUUCACUUCAACACCAAAAAUUGUAUAUUGUAAGUGUCCACCAAUUUACAAAUUUGCAAUGCCUCCUGCUGAGGAGAGAAAACAUGCAUGCUGUACAUCUUGCAAUGCCAUCUACCAUAACCACACUGAAAAGACAACACUGCACAUAAAGUUUUCUGUCUUACAGCAAGAACGUGCUUCUUACAGUCCUCGUAUUGCCUAAAGCAGAUGAAAUCAUUUUCACUGUCCAAAACACAUAAAAGAUUUAAGUCUAAAGGCUGAACAUCAGACUAUAAUUUAUAGUCAGUUGAGAAAGAGAAGUCAACACAGACUGGCUUUAGACUUUCCUAUGCAGCCUUAAUGGAGUGCCUGACAAGGCCUCAUAUUCAUAGACCAAUUUAAACACAGGAUCACACUCACACCCGUUAAUCAUGAAUAAAUACAAAUCAUACAGUGUGCGUGUGUGUGUACAUAUUUAUACUGAAAGCGACUUGGGAUCUAGAGCUCUCAGAGAAUUGCAAGAAACGGCCUAGAAGACAGAGCGACUGCCACUGCCUGUGGCUGUGGGAGGCACAGCCAGCACCCCUGGGACCGCCACCACAGGGAGACAGAGCCCCACAUUCGCUGGGAACAGCGGCUGCUUUACACACCGCUGAGGGGAGAAGGGAAAGGUGCUUUUAUACUCUUAAAAAAGAAAAAAAGUGCCAAAGUGAGAGCCCAAGACAUUAACAUAAUUAGAAUUCCUGUGGCAAGUGCCAGCAUGGAAGUACAUCCAAAGCAGCUCUUCUCCCAGAUUCCAUAUUUCCUCCAACUUUCGAUAUUUUCAUUUUUUUAAGUGGCUGUAAUAACGUAAACCACCUAGCAGAGGCCUUUUGAGCCUCUUAAUGGUUAUGAUGGAGGAAAUACUGUGACAAGUACCAAGAGAAAAAAUAAAUAUCCUUGAUGCUGUCAAGUCAAUUCCAGGCUACAAGAGAAGUAGUAGUAUAUUAAAUAUGGUCUGAAAUAAAAUAGUAAGCAAAAUCUGA
RNA transcript from Dromaius novaehollandiae (emu), 6301 nucleotides. It is a transcript of the gene named protein arginine methyltransferase 7, with no coding region annotated. NCBI's taxonomy places the organism in Eukaryota, Metazoa, Chordata, Aves, Casuariiformes, Dromaiidae. The transcript is spliced from 28 exons. The record is from RefSeq and is a predicted model, not a curated record.